RNAcentral lists this ribosomal RNA (311 nucleotides) under uncultured Glomus. Its description in RNAcentral is "SSU rRNA". It matches the Rfam family "Eukaryotic small subunit ribosomal RNA", at positions 569 to 886 of the family's 1831-position model. The record is from RNAcentral. Lineage: Eukaryota; Fungi; Glomeromycota; Glomeromycetes; Glomerales; Glomeraceae.
AGCAGCCGCGGUAAUUCCAGCUCCAAUAGCGUAUAUUAAAGUUGUUGCAGUUAAAAAGCUCGUAGUUGAAUUUCGGGAUUAGUACGUUGGUCGUGCCUUUGGUACGUACUGGUGUUACUGAUUCCUACCUUCUGACGAACCAUCAUGUCAUUAAUUUGGUGUGGCGGGAGUCAGGACUGUUACUUUGAAAAAAUUAGAGUGUUUAAAGCAGUCUUGCGCUUGAAUACAUUAACAUGGAAUAAUGAAAUAAGACGUUGAUCCUAUUUUGUUGGUUUCUAGGAUUGAUGUAAUGAUUAAUAGGGAUAGUUGGG